GGGCGGUUAGCUCAGCGGUAGAGCGUCGGCCUUACAAGCCGAAGGCCGGAGGUUCAAGUCCUCCACCGCCCACC
Molecule: transfer RNA, 74 nt
Filed under: bacterium HR11
Lineage: Bacteria
Description: tRNA-Val
Rfam family: tRNA
About the family: Transfer RNA (tRNA) molecules are approximately 80 nucleotides in length. Their secondary structure includes four short double-helical elements and three loops (D, anti-codon, and T loops).
Source: RNAcentral